UGGCGGGGCUGUGUGCAGGGAUCAUGCGCAGUACCACUCUUACCGUCGAGGCCUCCCAGAAGCCGCAGUUGGGUUUUUUGACCUUUUCUUAUUUGGUUCAUAAAUUGUCCCUACCACUCAUGUACACAGUCAUUUUUAGUGCCUUAUAGUUCUUGGUAUUUUGCUGCUUGAGGAGAAGUUUGUCCUUCCUGGUGCAAACAAGCCCGGCAGUGAAGGGUCCCAGGUACCGGAGCCCAGCCUGUCUCACUUUCACAUCGACAGUAAAGUCGAAAAACCGAAACUAUUUGGGGGUGUGAUCUGGAAAAAUAAAGGAAUAAAGAAAGAAGAAGGAAGAGAAAGAACUCUGAAAACAAACCCAGGAGGGUAAUAAAAGAACCUCAGGAGAGAAACUGCCUCAACCCUAGUACCCGAAGACUUGAUUGGAAUCAAAGGACAGACGAUUUCAGGAAGUGGAUUUCCAAGGAAAGGGGUAUUUAUGAGUGAAAUAGAAGCUUUCUGGUUGUUGCUCUAUGCACAUGACAUUUUUGAGAGGGUCAUCUCCAAAUUCAAAAUUGGAGGCUGUAGAUCCCUGAAAAAAUUGGCUUGGAGGAGAUGCUGCAAAAGCACUUUCUGUAUGAUGUUCCCCCAGACACAGGAAAGAACUUGCAUCUCCAUUUAUCAGAAUCUCUUCCCAAAUUUUUGGUUUAAAGUUUGCCAAUGAGACAGACUCUCCUGAGAUUUGGAAGGAGGUAGAGAAGUUAUUCUCCAGUAAGAAUUACCAAGAGCCUGGUGAGUGAACAGAAAGUCAAGUUCACAGAAAUUUCCAGGUCAUCUACCUUGGUGCUGCAGGCAGCUGGCCUCGGUGAUAGGAGCUUCACUGCCUUGUUGCCUUAGCUCUUCCAACAGGAAGAUGGCAGCAUAAUGAGACAUCAUCAUUACCCCAGACCCAUUGCCCACAUUUGGAGAAAUCACAUAGAGGAUCAAUGAUCAUCAUUUAGGGAAAAGGGUAGAAGUAGACAAGGUCUGAGAGGAUGUGAUGAUCAGAGUGUGCAGAUGGGUGGAAAUUCUCCAGGAGAAAACACCCCAUUAGCAGCUCAGUGAUUAAAGCCAUUUCUCUUUAAGAGCAGGUGUGCAGUGUUCUUUAUGGCAUAUGGCGUAUGUUUGAAACACACAUGCAGGGAAAAGCCGUUGAGGAUAGCUCUCCUUUUAUAAGUCCAUAGGACAAUGAAAUGAUUGUGAAAACAGAUCUGGGUUUUUUCUGUUUGUUCCAAGAAGGCCUUCAUUUCCAUUCCCCCCUUGCAGAGCUCUUAUGCAUAAUUCUUGGCUCUCUUACUAAGAUGAAAAUAAGCUCUGCCAUCAAAGCCCUUUUCUCACCUGGGCACAGAAAAACAUUAGGAGCGUGACCUGGCUGAACUGGUUGAUCAAAUUAUAGUGAAGGGGAUCACAGGAAAAGUCUUGCUCUUAAGCAAAAACUCUCUUCUACCUUUUAGUUCCAAACUCUUUGAAAAUGCUCACUCAAAGUGUUAGGCUCCUAGCACCUCCAAAAGGUGCUGUCCUGGGGUGAACCAAGAAAUGUCCCUGCUGUCUGUCAUGGUACCCUCCAAAGCAGUCAUGUGCCAUCUAUGGUGACAACUGGUGACCCGGUUAUUGCUUCUCUUCAGAGCACUAAACGCAGCACCAUGAGCGUGGUCCGUGUCUGGUUGGCUUCUAUUCCAAUUUAAUGCUACUGUUGGUGUGGAUUUUAAACAGCCUUGUUUUUAAUUUCUGAAGCGAUCAGUUGGAGAAGGAAAAUAGUUACUGAUGUGCAAAUCAUGUACGGCUUUUUAUGAUUCAUUUUUAUUAUUCACGUCGUGGCGCGUUUCUUGGCAGAGAGCGGAGAAUUUUGGAAAAGUACAUUCUCAGUGCCCUGGGUGUCAUUUAAAACAAAGUGAUUUUCCUAUAAUUUGAUUUUGUCAGAGCUCCUCUCACUUCUGUCAGUUUGGAACCUGUUGGCCUACGUGGAUUUGCAUAGGUAAUAGUAAGUCUAAAGUGAAAAACAAAAUCUUUUUCAAGUAAGUCUCAAAAGAUAAGGCCUAAUUUAGAGAAGAUAGUGUGUUGAGGGCAAACUCUCAAGUGUAAUAUCAUUCCUUUUAUUGAUGCUAAAUCUGGAGGCCUCUAUGGCUGUAUUUCAGAUGUAGAAUAGCCAAGAGAAGGUCCCAGAUAUGAGAAUGGUCCAUUAGGAGUAGCUUUGCCUCCCUUGCCUCCAGGUC
This is a non-coding RNA of Sus scrofa (pig), 2228 nucleotides long. Lineage: Eukaryota; Metazoa; Chordata; Mammalia; Artiodactyla; Suidae. The record is from RefSeq and is a predicted model, not a curated record.